This 470-nucleotide ribosomal RNA is filed under the name uncultured organism. RNAcentral describes it as "partial 16S ribosomal RNA". It matches the Rfam family "Bacterial small subunit ribosomal RNA", at positions 333 to 796 of the family's 1533-position model. The record is from RNAcentral.
ACACUCCGCGGGAGGCAGCAGUGGGGAAUUUUGGACAAUGGGCGAAAGCCUGAUCCAGCAAUGCCGCGUGAGUGAAGAAGGCCUUCGGGUUGUAAAGCUCUUUUGUCAGGGAAGAAACGGUGAAAGCUAAUAUCUUUUGCUAAUGACGGUACCUGAAGAAUAAGCACCGGCUAACUACGUGCCAGCAGCCGCGGUAAUACGUAGGGUGCAAGCGUUAAUCGGAAUUACUGGGCGUAAAGCGUGCGCAGGCGGUUUUGUAAGUCUGAUGUGAAAUCCCCGGGCUCAACCUGGGAAUUGCAUUGGAGACUGCAAGGCUAGAAUCUGGCAGAGGGGGGUAGAAUUCCACGUGUAGCAGUGAAAUGCGUAGAUAUGUGGAGGAACACCGAUGGCGAAGGCAGCCCCCUGGGUCAAGAUUGACGCUCAUGCACGAAAGCGUGGGGAGCAAACAGGAUUAGAAACCCGGGUAGUCC